RNAcentral lists this long non-coding RNA (405 nucleotides) under Sitophilus oryzae (rice weevil). Its description in RNAcentral is "uncharacterized LOC115891297". Lineage: Eukaryota; Metazoa; Arthropoda; Insecta; Coleoptera; Curculionidae. The record is from RNAcentral.
ACAACAAGUGAACUAUAAACGUAAACGUGCUUCAUCCAAACUAUUUUAAUAAUUAAAACACUGAGAUAACGUAAAGAUAAGUUAUACAAAUAAUUAUUUUAAGGAUAGAAUCGGUAAAAUAGUUCUUGUUAUGUUUGUGUUUUCAGUAUCUAUUUUAAGAAUUAUUAGGUUCGAGAAUUAUCUAGACUUGGUGGUUCAGGAGUAGCACAAAGUACAAGGAAAGUGCUUUAUAAGGUUCUGGGCAAUGAAAUUGCACAAAAAUAUUCUUGGGAUGGGGCCAAACAGAAGAGAAGUUUGAAAUCAUUGUUAGUGGCCAAAAGCAAUUUUAGACUCCAUGAAAGGUCAAUUUCAAAAGUCAAAAGAAACCGAAAUUAUCAAUAUAAUUAAAAUAUGGCUUGUAAAAAC